Molecule: non-coding RNA, 163 nt
Filed under: uncultured Longibaculum sp.
Lineage: Bacteria; Bacillati; Bacillota; Erysipelotrichia; Erysipelotrichales; Coprobacillaceae
Description: Lysine riboswitch
Rfam family: Lysine riboswitch aptamer
About the family: Riboswitches are metabolite binding domains within certain messenger RNAs that serve as precision sensors for their corresponding targets. Allosteric rearrangement of mRNA structure is mediated by ligand binding, and this results in modulation of gene expression. This family includes riboswitches that sense lysine in a number of genes involved in lysine metabolism, including lysC.
Source: RNAcentral
AGAUAGAGGCGCAAGAGUUAAGAAUUCUUUUAUAAUAGAUGCAACUAAAAAGAAGGAGGAGCGAUUGCCGAAGGAAUUAUGGUUUGCAUGUCAUGAUUUCCUGGGGGUAUAGAGAAUAUCUAUGCCACUGUCACUUUAAAAUAUUAAAGUGGGGUGCUAUUGC